CAAUGAGCGACGACAAGAACAUUAUUAAGCCGGUCUCCCUGUGAACAGAGAAUCAGUGGUUGGUGCGAACUGAUACAAAGAUUAGGUGAAUUUCAUUCUUGGAGCUUUUUUUAUACUGUAUCUUAAUUGAAAUGAGUAUAGAAACGGAUUAAACCGUUAUUUUAACCAAGUGGGAGACACGUAUUGUUUCCAAUUAGGGUGGUACCGCGUGAAUAGCCACGUCCCUAUC
Molecule: non-coding RNA, 229 nt
Filed under: Paenibacillus antarcticus
Lineage: Bacteria; Bacillati; Bacillota; Bacilli; Caryophanales; Paenibacillaceae
Description: T-box sequence
Rfam family: T-box leader
About the family: Uncharged tRNA acts as the effector for transcription antitermination of genes in the T-box leader family. T-boxes are found upstream of many aminoacyl-tRNA synthetase genes and some amino acid biosynthetic genes usually in Gram-positive bacteria.
Source: RNAcentral